Long non-coding RNA from Octopus sinensis (East Asian common octopus), 92 nucleotides. RefSeq lists it as uncharacterized. The transcript is spliced from 3 exons. Lineage: Eukaryota; Metazoa; Mollusca; Cephalopoda; Octopoda; Octopodidae. The record is from RefSeq and is a predicted model, not a curated record.
CACACACACACACACUGUGUGUGUGUCUCACAUAGUCAGCGAUGGAUGGCGAGCAUAUAAUAACAUCGGAAUCCUCAAUCUUCGUGCCUACA